RNAcentral lists this ribosomal RNA (254 nucleotides) under uncultured bacterium. Its description in RNAcentral is "partial 16S ribosomal RNA". It matches the Rfam family "Bacterial small subunit ribosomal RNA", at positions 524 to 776 of the family's 1533-position model. The record is from RNAcentral.
UACGUAGGGUGCGAGCGUUAAUCGGAAUUACUGGGCGUAAAGAGCGCGCAGGCGGUCGUUUCAAGUCGAGUGUGAAAGCCCCCGGCUCAACUGGGGAGGGUCACUCGAUACUGAUCGACUCGAAGGCAGGAGAGGGUAGUGGAAUUCCCGGUGUAGUGGUGAAAUGCGUAGAUAUCGGGAGGAACACCGAUGGCGAAGGCAGCCGCCUGGCCUGACACUGACGCUGAGACGCGAAAGCGUGGGGAGCAAACAGG